GGUUGUGGCUCAGUGGUAGAGUGCUCGCCUAGCACGUACGAGGUGCUGUGUUGGAUCCUCAGCACCA
This 67-nucleotide transfer RNA is filed under the name Marmota monax (woodchuck). RNAcentral describes it as "tRNA.Ala". The record is from RNAcentral. Lineage: Eukaryota; Metazoa; Chordata; Mammalia; Rodentia; Sciuridae.